Rhincodon typus (whale shark) is the source of this 73-nucleotide non-coding RNA. The record is from the annotation of a RefSeq genome assembly. NCBI's taxonomy places the organism in Eukaryota, Metazoa, Chordata, Chondrichthyes, Orectolobiformes, Rhincodontidae.
GGCUCUGUGGCGCAAUGGACAGCGCGUUGGAUUUCUAAUUCAAAGGUUGUGGGUUCAAAUCCCACCAGAGUCA